This 802-nucleotide ribosomal RNA is filed under the name uncultured bacterium. Its description in RNAcentral is "bacterial SSU rRNA". It matches the Rfam family "Bacterial small subunit ribosomal RNA", at positions 8 to 805 of the family's 1533-position model. The record is from RNAcentral.
AGAGUUUGAUCCUGGCUCAGAUUGAACGCUUGUGGAAUGCUUUACACAUGCAAGUCGAACGAUGAACCUUAGCUUGCUAAGGGGAUUAGUGGCGAACGGGUGAGUAAUAUAUCGGAACGUGCCUUGUAAUGGGGGAUAACUAGUCGAAAGAUUACCUAAUACCGCAUACGCCCUGAGGGGGAAAGUAGGGGAUCUUCGGACCUUACGUUAUAAGAGCGGCCGAUAUCUGAUUAGCUAGUUGGUGGGGUAAUGGCCUACCAAGGCGACGAUCAGUAGCUGGUCUGAGAGGACGACCAGCCACACUGGAACUGAGACACGGUCCAGACUCCUACGGGAGGCAGCAGUGGGGAAUUUUGGACAAUGGGCGCAAGCCUGAUCCAGCCAUUCCGCGUGAGUGAAGAAGGCCUUCGGGUUGUAAAGCUCUUUCGCAAGGGAAGAAAACUUACUUUCUAAUAAAGAGUGAGGCUGACGGUACCUUGAUAAGAAGCACCGGCUAACUACGUGCCAGCAGCCGCGGUAAUACGUAGGGUGCGAGCGUUAAUCGGAAUUACUGGGCGUAAAGCGUGCGCAGGCGGUUUGGCAAGUCAGAUGUGAAAUCCCCGAGCUCAACUUGGGAACUGCGUUUGAAACUGCCAGACUAGGAUAUGCCAGAGGGGGGUAGAAUUCCACGUGUAGCAGUGAAAUGCGUAGAGAUGUGGAGGAAUACCAAUGGCGAAGGCAGCCCCCUGGGAUAAUAUUGACGCUCAUGCACGAAAGCGUGGGGAGCAAACAGGAUUAGAUACCCUGGUAGUCCACGCCCUAA